UAGCCUUAAAAAUAAUUUAAGGUGAUGCCUGCCCAAUGAUAAUAAAAAAAUUUUUGUGAUAGAAAAUACAUAACGUUUCAAUGGCCGCAGUAUUCUUGACUGUGUUAAGGUAGCACAAUCAAUCGCCGCUUAAUUGGCGGAUGGUAUGAAUGGUAAUACGAAAAUUUCACUGUCUCAAAUGUAGAAUUAAAAAAAUUGAAAUAAUAGUUAAGAUGCUAUUUAAAAUUGUAAGACGAUAAGACCCUAUAAAGCUUUACUACUACCCUUAAAAAUUAAAUCAUUUAGGGGAAAGGUAGUUUACUUGGGGCAAGGACUUUUUAAAUAAAAAGAAAGUAAGCAAAAUGAAUAAUACAUUUAUUGUAUAAAUUAUAUUUUUAACAAUCACAAAGUGGGCUAUACUGACCCGUUUAUUCUUUAAAACUAGAUAAACAAUUAUUAAAUAAAAGCUACUUUAGGGAUAACAGGAUAAUUUUAUCAAAGAGCCCAUAUUACUGAUAAAGUUUGUCACCUCGAUGUUGAAUUAAGAUUUCCUAGCGGAGCAGAAACUGCUAAAGGUAGGUCUGUUCGACCUUUAAAUAUCUU
RNAcentral lists this ribosomal RNA (582 nucleotides) under Plumularia warreni. RNAcentral's name for it is "partial 16S ribosomal RNA". It matches the Rfam family "Bacterial large subunit ribosomal RNA", at positions 1831 to 2597 of the family's 2925-position model. Lineage: Eukaryota; Metazoa; Cnidaria; Hydrozoa; Leptothecata; Plumulariidae. The record is from RNAcentral.